This is a long non-coding RNA of Stegodyphus dumicola, 1026 nucleotides long. Lineage: Eukaryota; Metazoa; Arthropoda; Arachnida; Araneae; Eresidae. The record is from RefSeq and is a predicted model, not a curated record.
ACUUUCUUAAAUAUGACAUGAUUUUUUGGCUUCUGAGGCAUCUUUUAAAUUGAAAAAUUUCAGAGAGGUUUUGGAUAAAGGAUAAUUUGAACUAUUCUCUUUUAUGCAGUGGGAAAUGUAUUUCAGCAGAUGGAUGAUGACAGCAUGUUAUGUGUGAAUGUGAGGAUGGCAAAUGUGAUCUUCAGAUGCUUAUUUUAAAACUACAGAAUACAUAUAGAGGGGUAAAAAAUCCGAUGACUGUUGUAGGUUGAAAUUUAAUGAUGUUUGCUUGCUCCCUCACUGCAAGUGUUUAAGACUAUAAACCACUGAUAUCUACUUUAUCCAUCAAUGAUUAUUAAUGAGAUAUGGGAAAGAUGUGUUUCACAGCAUGUUGUUCCUUUACACUGAAGAUCAAAAUUUACAUUAUUAAAACUCAUUUAACCACAUAUGGCUUUACAUUAAAAACAUUUAUUUAUUAAAAUCUUAAAAAAUAGAAACAUUUUAAAGAAAAGAAAAGUUUAUUAAUAUAAAAGCACAUUUUUGUAUUUCAAGGGACAGGUGAUCACAGAAAUAUACAAAAAUAGAUUAUCACAGGACAAAAAUGGAUUAUCACAGAAAUAAGCAAUAUUAUUGAUCACAGAAAUGUAUAAAAAAUUCCUGAGUUGUUUACAUAGUACAAAAAUAUAAAACAUCUUGGAACAUUACACUCUGCCUUUAUCAUACAGCAGACUCUGUUGUAACCAGUCUGGCUGUAAUUGGUCAUAUUUAAAGCUUUUUUUCGGUUGAAGUUAACCAGCUCCUCACUGUAAAUUGUAAGAAAUGUGCACCAAAUUGCACUUAGAUUACAUUAUUACUUUAUAUAGAAAAUAAGUAAAAGUAUUGAUAAUCAUAUUUUUAAAAAUGCUUGAGUUUCAAUAAAUGGUUGUUAUCUAUGCCUUUGAGAUCCUAAUUUCAUCAUAUACAGUUCUUAUUUAUUUAAUUUUUAAAAAUUUGUAUUAAUCUGAAAUGAUAAAUUAAGAAAAACGAAAAAAAAAAAAAAAAUUUUAA